Molecule: ribosomal RNA, 236 nt
Filed under: uncultured bacterium
Lineage: Bacteria
Description: partial 16S ribosomal RNA
Rfam family: Bacterial small subunit ribosomal RNA
Source: RNAcentral
CGGGACGGGUGAGUAACGCGUGGGUAACCUGCCUUGUACUGGGGGACAACAGUUAGAAAUGACUGCUAAUACCGCAUAAGCGCACAGUAUCGCAUGAUACAGUGUGAAAAACUCCGGUGGUACAAGAUGGACCCGCGUCUGAUUAGCUAGUCGGUAAGGUAACGGCUUACCAAGGCGACGAUCAGUAGCCGACCUGAGAGGGUGACCGGCCACAUUGGGACUGAGACACGGCCCAA